Molecule: ribosomal RNA, 497 nt
Filed under: uncultured bacterium
Lineage: Bacteria
Description: partial 16S ribosomal RNA
Rfam family: Bacterial small subunit ribosomal RNA
Source: RNAcentral
GAUGAACGCUGGCGGCGUGCCUAAUACGUGCAAGUCGAGCGAACGGACGAGAAGCUUGCUUCUCUGAUGUCAGCGGCGGACGGGUGAGUAACACGUGGAUAACCUACCUAUAAGACUGGGAUAACUUCGGGAAACCGGAGCUAAUACCGGAUGAUAUUUUGAACCGCAUGGUUCAAAAGUGAAAGACGGUCUUGCUGUCACUUAUAGAUGGAUCCGCGCUACAUUAGCUAGUUGGUAAGGUAACGGCUUACCAAGGCAACGAUGCAUAGCCGACCUGAGAGGGUGAUCGGCCACACUGGAACUGAGACACGGUCCAGACUCCUACGGGAGGCAGCAGUAGGGAAUCUUCCGCAAUGGGCGAAAGCCUGACGGAGCAACGCCGCGUGAGUGAUGAAGGUCUUCGGAUCGUAAAACUCUGUUAUUAGGGAAGAACAUAUGUGUAAGUAACUGUGCACAUCUUGACGGUACCUAAUCAGAAAGCCACGGCUAACUACGUG